GAGAAGUGGGAACGGCGACGCCGGUGAGGGGAAGUGGGAACAGUUGGUGAAUUCGCCUAAGGCUCUAAUGGCAGUUCCUUGUCGUAUUCUUGUGACUUUUACAUAUGUUUGACGUUGUAUCAAAAUGAACUGGUGGCCACGCGGGACAGACCCUAAAGCCAAGGUUCUUUCUGACCUUAUCGUGAGGCUGAUCCUUGGAGCGCAGGGAGGCGGCCGCAAGGUGAAUAGUGCCCUCUGUGUAGGCUCCGGAGCAGAAUGGUCAUCAUGGACAGGCCCCCCAGCUGCUGGACUGUGACUGUUCUGAGGCUGAAAUGGGCAGACAGCCUUGCCUCCUCUCCACCUGCAGCUGCAAGCCUGGAUGGUGGAGGCACCCCGGGAACCUCCUCUACGCUCGUGUCUUGCUCAUGCAUUUCUGAGCUCCCUGGCAGUUCAGCCUCCCUUUUAUUAAAUCCUGACAGGAAGCUUGGAUUAAGACCUCGGUAGUGCUAAAGCCCUUGCUCUCUGAACCCAUGCUCAUGGGGGAUGAAUCUUGUCUCCCCAAAAGAUAUGUUCGAGUCCUAAGUCCUAGUUCCUACAAACGUGACCAAUUUGGAAACAGGGUCUUUGCAGAUGUAAAAAGUUAAGGAUAUCA
Pan troglodytes (chimpanzee) is the source of this 631-nucleotide long non-coding RNA. RefSeq lists it as uncharacterized. The transcript has 2 exons. The record is from RefSeq and is a predicted model, not a curated record. Lineage: Eukaryota; Metazoa; Chordata; Mammalia; Primates; Hominidae.